RNAcentral lists this transfer RNA (72 nucleotides) under Marmota monax (woodchuck). RNAcentral describes it as "tRNA.Ala". The record is from RNAcentral. Lineage: Eukaryota; Metazoa; Chordata; Mammalia; Rodentia; Sciuridae.
GGAUGAAGCUCAGUUGGUAGAGUGCUUCCCUCGCAUGCACAAGGCCCUGGGUUCAAUCCCCAGCAUGAUUCA